RNAcentral lists this long non-coding RNA (283 nucleotides) under Rattus norvegicus (Norway rat). RNAcentral describes it as "long non-coding RNA NONRATT013476". Lineage: Eukaryota; Metazoa; Chordata; Mammalia; Rodentia; Muridae. The record is from RNAcentral.
CAAGGGAAAGAGGGAUGGAACUCUAUUUUACUGGGGAUGGGACGCAGUGCUGAUAAUCCUGUGUAUAUAUGUCUCCAGAUCCCAAGCAGCCAGAGGAAAAGAAAAAGAGAAGGAUGGAACUACAGACUCUGGGAUCAAGUUAGAACCUGUACCAGGACUGCCUGGAGCUCUGCCUCCACCUCCUGCCGCAGAAGAGGAAGCGUCUGCCAACUACUUCAACCUGCCCCCAAGUGGGCCUCCAGCCGUAGUGAACAUUGCCCUGCCCCCACCCCCUGGGAUCGCC